This 366-nucleotide ribosomal RNA is filed under the name Staphylococcus epidermidis NIHLM049. Its description in RNAcentral is "bacterial SSU rRNA". It matches the Rfam family "Bacterial small subunit ribosomal RNA", at positions 1 to 356 of the family's 1533-position model. Lineage: Bacteria; Bacillati; Bacillota; Bacilli; Caryophanales; Staphylococcaceae. The record is from RNAcentral.
UUUUAUGGAGAGUUUGAUCCUGGCUCAGGAUGAACGCUGGCGGCGUGCCUAAUACAUGCAAGUCGAGCGAACAGAUGAGGAGCUUGCUCCUCUGACGUUAGCGGCGGACGGGUGAGUAACACGUGGAUAACCUACCUAUAAGACUGGGAUAACUUCGGGAAACCGGAGCUAAUACCGGAUAAUAUAUUGAACCGCAUGGUUCAAUAGUGAAAGACGGUUUUGCUGUCACUUAUAGAUGGAUCCGCGCCGCAUUAGCUAGUUGGUAAGGUAACGGCUUACCAAGGCAACGAUGCGUAGCCGACCUGAGAGGGUGAUCGGCCACACUGGAACUGAGACACGGUCCAGACUCCUACGGGAGCAGCAGUA